This 799-nucleotide ribosomal RNA is filed under the name uncultured Glomeromycotina. RNAcentral's name for it is "SSU rRNA". It matches the Rfam family "Eukaryotic small subunit ribosomal RNA", at positions 310 to 1114 of the family's 1831-position model. Lineage: Eukaryota; Fungi; Glomeromycota. The record is from RNAcentral.
AUUUAUCAACUUCGAUGGUAGGAUAAGAGGCCUACCAUGGUGGUAACGGGUAACGGGGUGUUAGGGCACGACNCGAGAGGGAGCUGAGAAACGGCUACCACAUCCAAGGAAGGCAGCAGGCGCGCAAAUUACCCAAUCCCGACAUGGGGAGGUAGUGACAAUAAAUAACAAUACAGGGUUCUUUUGGAUCUUGUAAUUGGAAUGAGUACAAUUUAAAUCUCUUAACGAGGAACAAUUGGAGGGCAAGUCUGGUGCCAGCAGCCGCGGUAAUUCCAGCUCCAAUAGCGUAUAUUAAAGUUGUUGCAGUUAAAAAGCUCGUAGUUGAAUUUCGGGAUCAAGGGAUCGGUCAUGCCUUGGUAUGUACUGGUUUUAUUGGUUCUCACCUUCUAAAGAACCAUGAUGUCAUUCAUUUGAUGUUAUGGGGAAUUAGGACUGUUACCUUGAAAAAAUUAGAGUGUUUAAAGCAAGCUUACGCUUGAAUACAUUAGCAUGGAAUAAUGAAAUAGGACAUCAGAUUCUAUUUUGUUGGUUUCUAGGAUCGAUGUAAUGACUAAUAGGGAUAGUUGGGGGCAUUAGUAUUCAAUUGUCAGAGGUGAAAUUCUUGGAUUUAUUGAAGACUAACUAUUGCGAAAGCAUUUGCCAAGGAUGUUUUCAUUAAUCAAGAACGAAAGUUAGGGGAUCGAAGACGAUCAGAUACCGUCGUAGUCUUAACCAUAAACUAUGCCGACUAGGGAUCGGAUGAUGUUAAUUUUUUAAUGACUCAUUCGGCACCUUACGGGAAACCAAAGUGUUUGGGUUC